CAUUAAGUGCCCCGCCUGGGGAGUACGGCCGCAAGGCUAAAACUCAAAGGAAUUGACGGGGGCCCGCACAAGCGGCGGAGCAUGCGGAUUAAUUCGAUGCAACGCGAAGAACCUUACCAAGGCUUGACAUCCACCGGACCGCACUGGAGACAGUGCUUCCCUUCGGGGCUGGUGGACAGGUGGUGCAUGGUUGUCGUCAGCUCGUGUCGUGAGAUGUUGGGUUAAGUCCCGCAACGAGCGCAACCCUCGUUCUAUGUUGCCAGCACGUGAUGGUGGGGACUCAUAGGAGACUGCCGGGGUCAACUCGGAGGAAGGUGGGGAUGACGUCAAAUCAUCAUGCCCCUUAUGUCUUGGGCUUCACGCAUGCUACAAUGGCCGGUACAAAGGGUUGCGAUACUGUGAGGUGGAGCUAAUCCCAAAAAGCCGGUCUCAGUUCGGAUUGAGGUCUGCAACUCGACCUCAUGAAGUCGGAGUCGCUAGUAAUCGCAGAUCAGCAACGCUGCGGUGAAUACGUUCCCGGGCCUUGUACACACCGCCCGUCAAGUCACGAAAGUUGGUAACACCCGAAGCCGGUGGCCUAACCCCUUGUGGGAGGGAGCCGUCGAAGGUGGGACCGGCGAUUGGGACUAAGUCGUAACAAGGUAGCCGUAAGCUUGGAUCCCGGG
Molecule: ribosomal RNA, 665 nt
Filed under: Kocuria rosea
Lineage: Bacteria; Bacillati; Actinomycetota; Actinomycetes; Micrococcales; Micrococcaceae
Description: bacterial SSU rRNA
Rfam family: Bacterial small subunit ribosomal RNA
Source: RNAcentral